CACUGCAUUCUGUGCAGUAUCCUAAGUUGAAUACAUAGACUUAGAGAAGCGAACCCGGAGAACUGAACCAUCUAAGUACCCGGAGGAAAAGAAAUCAACCGAGAUUCCGCAAGUAGUGGCGAGCGAACGCGGAGGAGCCUGUACGUGAUAACUGUUGAGAUAGAAGAACAAGCUGGGAAGCUUGGCCAUAGUGGGUGAUAGUCCCGUAUUCGAAAUCUCAAUAGUGGUACUAAGCGUACGAAAAGUAGGGCGGGACACGUGAAAUCCUGUCUGAAUAUGGGGGGACCAUCCUCCAAGGCUAAAUACUCAUCAUCGACCGAUAGUGAACCAGUACCGUGAGGGAAAGGCGAAAAGAACCCCGGGAGGGGAGUGAAAUAGAACCUGAAACCUGAUGCAUACAAACAGUGGGAGCACCCUUGUGGUGUGACUGCGUACCUUUUGUAUAAUGGGUCAACGACUUACAUUCAGUAGCGAGCUUAACCGAAUAGGGGAGGCGUAGGGAAACCGAGUCUUAAUAGGGCGAAGAGUUGCUGGGUGUAGACCCGAAACCGAGUGAUCUAUCCAUGGCCAGGUUGAAGGUGCCGUAACAGGUACUGGAGGACCGAACCCACGCAUGUUGCAAAAUGCGGGGAUGAGCUGUGGAUAGGGGUGAAAGGCUAAACAAACUCGGAGAUAGCUGGUUCUCCCCGAAAACUAUUUAGGUAGUGCCUCGAGCAAGACACUGAUGGGGGUAAAGCACUGUUAUGGCUAGGGGGUUAUUGCAACUUACCAACCCAUGGCAAACUCAGAAUACCAUCAAGUGGUUCCUCGGGAGACAGACAGCGGGUGCUAACGUCCGUUGUCAAGAGGGAAACAACCCAGACCGCCAGCUAAGGUCCCAAAUGAUAGAUUAAGUGGUAAACGAAGUGGGAAGGCCCAGACAGCCAGGAUGUUGGCUUAGAAGCAGCCAUCAUUUAAAGAAAGCGUAAUAGCUCACUGGUCGAGUCGUCCUGCGCGGAAGAUGUAACGGGGCUCAAAUCUAUAACCGAAGCUGCGGAUGCUAGUUUACUAGCAUGGUAGGGGAGCGUUCUGUAGGCCGAAGAAGGUGCAUUGUAAAGUGUGCUGGAGGUAUCAGAAGUGCGAAUGUUGACAUGAGUAGCGAUAAAGCGGGUGAAAAGCCCGCUCGCCGAAAGCCCAAGGUUUCCUACGCAACGUUCAUCGGCGUAGGGUGAGUCGGCCCCUAAGGCGAGGCAGAAAUGCGUAGUCGAUGGGAAACAGGUUAAUAUUCCUGUACUUGAUUCAAAUGCGAUGUGGGGACGGAGAAGGUUAGGUUAGCAAGCUGUUGGAAUAGCUUGUUUAAGCCGGUAGGUGGAAGACUUAGGCAAAUCCGGGUCUUCUUAACACCGAGAAGUGAUGACGAGUGUCUACGGACAUGAAGUAACCGAUACCACGCUUCCAGGAAAAGCCACUAAGCUUCAGUUUGAAUCGAACCGUACCGCAAACCGACACAGGUGGGCAGGAUGAGAAUUCUAAGGCGCUUGAGAGAACUCGGGAGAAGGAACUCGGCAAAUUGAUACCGUAACUUCGGGAGAAGGUAUGCCCUCUAAGGUUAAGGACUUGCUCCGUAAGCCCUGGAGGGUCGCAGAGAAUAGGUGGCUGCGACUGUUUAUUAAAAACACAGCACUCUGCUAACACGAAAGUGGACGUAUAGGGUGUGACGCCUGCCCGGUGCUGGAAGGUUAAUUGAAGAUGUGAGAGCAUCGGAUCGAAGCCCCAGUAAACGGCGGCCGUAACUAUAACGGUCCUAAGGUAGCGAAAUUCCUUGUCGGGUAAGUUCCGACCCGCACGAAUGGCGUAACGAUGGCCACACUGUCUCCUCCCGAGACUCAGCGAAGUUGAAGUGGUUGUGAAGAUGCAAUCUACCCGCUGCUAGACGGAAAGACCCCGUGAACCUUUACUGUAGCUUUGCAUUGGACUUUGAAGUCACUUGUGUAGGAUAGGUGGGAGGCUUAGAAGCAGGGACGCCAGUCUCUGUGGAGCCGUCCUUGAAAUACCACCCUGGUGGCUUUGAGGUUCUAACCCAGACCCGUUAUCCGGGUCGGGGACCGUGCAUGGUAGGC
RNAcentral lists this ribosomal RNA (2099 nucleotides) under Neisseria oralis. Its description in RNAcentral is "bacterial LSU rRNA". It matches the Rfam family "Bacterial large subunit ribosomal RNA", at positions 129 to 2266 of the family's 2925-position model. Lineage: Bacteria; Pseudomonadati; Pseudomonadota; Betaproteobacteria; Neisseriales; Neisseriaceae. The record is from RNAcentral.